This 74-nucleotide transfer RNA is filed under the name bacterium. RNAcentral's name for it is "tRNA-Cys". It matches the Rfam family "tRNA". From Rfam's summary of the family: Transfer RNA (tRNA) molecules are approximately 80 nucleotides in length. RNAcentral also lists the same sequence under 1 other name. The record is from RNAcentral.
GGCGGCGUACCCAAGUGGACUAAGGGAGCGGAUUGCAAAUCCGCGAUUCGUGGGUUCGAAUCCCACCGCCGCCU